Molecule: ribosomal RNA, 497 nt
Filed under: uncultured bacterium
Lineage: Bacteria
Description: partial 16S ribosomal RNA
Rfam family: Bacterial small subunit ribosomal RNA
Source: RNAcentral
GAUGAACGCUGGCGGCGUGCCUAAUACAUGCAAGUCGAGCGAACAGACGAGGAGCUUGCUCCUCUGACGUUAGCGGCGGACGGGCGAGUAACACGUGGAUAACCUACCUAUAAGACUGGGAUAACUUCGGGAAACCGGAUCUAAUACCGGAUAAUAUAUUGAACCGCAUGGUUCAAUAGUGAAAGACGGUUUUGCUGUCACUUAUAGAUGGAUCCGCGCCGCAUUAGCUAGUUGGUAAGGUAACGGCUUACCAAGGCAACGAUGCGUAGCCGACCUGAGAGGGUGAUCAGCCACACUGGAACUGAGACACGGUCCAGACUCCUACGGGAGGCAGCAGUAGGGAAUCUUCCGCAAUGGGCGAAAGCCUGACGGAGCCACGCCGCGUGAGUGAUGAAGGUCUUCGGAUCGUAAAACUCUGUUAUUAGGGAAGAACAAAUGUGUAAGUAACUAUGCACGUCUUGACGGUACCUAAUCAGAAAGCCACGGCUAACUACGUG